Long non-coding RNA from Armigeres subalbatus, 4253 nucleotides. RefSeq lists it as uncharacterized. The transcript is spliced from 4 exons. Lineage: Eukaryota; Metazoa; Arthropoda; Insecta; Diptera; Culicidae. The record is from RefSeq and is a predicted model, not a curated record.
GCCUAAUUAUACUAAGAGUAAAAUCAGCAGUGAUUCAAAUCGUUCGGGGCUGUCAGUUUGAAUAUGAAUCUGAAACAUUGAAUUUCCCAGCAGCUGUUCUAGAUUCAGUUUUUAUACCAGUCAACUGUCAAAAAAAUAAAACUGGUAUAAUGCUCCGUUCUAUUUUCUGCAGAUUUGAACCACGAUUGAAUCACGAGAUUCAAAUAUUUUUCAAUUGUUUUGGUGUAUGGAUGCGUCAUUUUAUCUACGGAUCAAUCCACUUUGCAAUUCCGGCGCCUUUCUUGGCAGUAACAUAAUGAUUUCAACUAAUUGAAAAUUUGGAAAACAUGAAUAGAACACUGCUGGGGAAACAAGCGAGUUUGUUCUAUUUUGCUCCAGAUGCAAACUAGAAUAGUGGUCGAAAAUUUAGAAUCAAACUGAAUCACUCCUGAUUUCACCCUAAAGACACACUGGUGGUACAAGGACCGUGGUAUACCACACUGGUAGAAAAAACAUUUUGAUUUUCAUACACUGUAAACCGGCAUUAUGUUUCUGUUUCGGAAGCGAAGGAAAUAGCUGGCGUUAUUUCACCAAGUUCUUGGUUUGAAAAAAGGAUGUUACUUAUUUAUCGCUUGCCAUAAAAUUAUGUGAGAAAAUGAACCAUCGCCGACGCUGGUUAAAUACCGCAGCGCUUCUAGCGAAUUACACCACGACGCUAUUCGGAUGUAUUUGUAGGGAGCAGAAACCUUGGCGGACGGCCACUAAUGGAUCGGGUGUGGGUUCCUUGCCUCAAACCAAACAUCAGUUGCUCCUCGUUUAGGGAUCGGAGACCUUGGCGGACGGCCACUCAAGGAUCUUAUUCUGUGCAGCUCACCUCAAACCAAACUUCAGAUGCUCCGCGUAUUUCCAGGGAGCAGAAACCUUGGCGAACCACAACUCAUGGAUCUGAGCCUGAGCGGCAUACUUCAAACGAAACAUGGGUGACUCCACCUUGCAUCACACUCCUCUUUAAUGUAGAAAAGUGCUAGAUGUUUGCUUUAUAUUUUAUUUUACCGAUCUAAAUACACUGAAUUGUGCUAAUUCACAAGAAUAAAUGUUUUUAUUACAUACAAAUUCAAAGAAAAUCAAGAAUCCAAAUUUUCCUUCGCUGUAAUGCUAAAAUGGGUAUUGUUUACUCCUUUUCUCAAAUUAAAAAUUUCCAAUAAAGAGUAAAAUUUACCCUUGAUUUUGACGUACAGGCCGUUUACCCAUUAAUGAGUAAACGCUGUUUACUCUUUUAAUGAGUUGAACUAUUUAACUUCAUAAUGGGUACUUUUUUACCCAUUAAAGAGUACUUUGCCGGCACAGUGUAAGUCUUGCCUUAUGAAACCAUAUGAAUUCAUUAUAUUUUCAUUUCAUAAGGUGCCAAUGGGAAUCAUUAGUUUGCCUUAUGAAAUUCAUACUUUGUGUAAACUUUUCAUAAGGUAUUCUUAUGAACAAAUCCUGUUCAUUACAGCGUUCAUCCUGACCAUCUUGACAGCUAGCAAAAAAUGGCUCACUUCUGGUUGCAUUUUUUCCACGCCAUCAAUCAACAUUACAACAACUGGAAUGUUAGAAGGAUGACUGAAAAUCUGAAAACAACUGCCUGUGCAUGAAUUCGGUGAGACCUCCGAAAGCGGAAACAACUCAACAAGUCCUUUAGUUUUGCCUCCAUCAACAAUGUACGGUGUCCUCUACUGUGCACAAUUUGUACAAGGUUUGAAGACUUCCAGGUCCAGCUUCUCGUCCAUACAGUGUAAUGAUCCUAUGCCUGUGAAUCAACAUUAUCCGGUUUCCUCCGGCUUCGGUAUACGGUCACUGACAUCAGUAACGGCCACCAGCAUUAGUAGCCAAACGGCCAAAUGAUGCCGGAAAGCGAUAGAUUUCGAUGAAAACCAUCAAGAUCAGGAAGACAGAUGCGGUCACGAUGAUCUGCAUUAUCGUUCGAAACAGCAACUUGUCAUUAAGAAGAAACCUCCGGUACACAUAUAGACUCCGAGCUUUGGACUGCAGUGUACAGGGUGUUCAAUAAGUUCGAAUACAAAUGUUUGAUCAUUGUGUUUGUAAGCCCAAUGUACAUAUUCUGUAUAAGUAUUGGUGUCAGCGUUAGCGGUAUAUAUACGCUAACGAAUGUGUGUGGUGUUGACAUUCUCUCACUUGUUGUUUGUUUUUUAAGCGCGGUGAAAAUGGAUUGGGGCAUUGUAAACAGCAUUUUUUGAAGGUCAAAAUCAUUGCGGUGUACUACAAAACUGAGAUUUUGGGGAAGAUUGAUACCCCCAGUGGCCCGGUGAUAAGACGGAGAUCAGCCCUGUGUUUCAAUAGAACGAUAAGCCUUUAUACACGGAAAAUGUGAUUUAAGCCUUAUAUGGGGACAAUUUCAUCGACUUUUUGGACAAAGCUUUGCGACCUCCCAGCUUCCCGGAUUUGAACCCUCUUAACUUUCUUGUUUGGUCCUUUAUUAUGUUAAAGCUGUACGAAUACAAGGUCAGUAACUUGGACCAGUUCCAGACGUAAUUCUCAAAAUCUGGAACGAAAUGCCCAUGCAGACCUUGCGUGCCGCUUGCUUUGGAUUUCAGAAACGUUUGAAGCUCGUGAAGAAGUAUAAAAUAGAGGUCAUUCCAGAAGAAAUAUUGCAAACGUUCCUUAUAAACAAUACUUUCAAUGAAAUGUAACCGGGAAAAGAAAUAAUUUAAUUACAAUUUUUAAACAUUUUUUGAAAGUGUAUUCGAACUUAUUGAACACCCUGUAUAUUCACAUUAUAUUUCGAGUGGAUAAUUAGUAGGAAUGCAACUUAAAACGCACUCGUUACGAGAUUUCACGAGAUUCAGCAGCUGAUUGGGGCAGGAAUGUAUGUUAACCAUCGUAAAGUCAUGUAGAGUCUCGCGCAUUUGUGCGCCAUCGUGCAGCAUGGAAAGAGAAAUUCGAAAAGCGGGAAAUGUUUGACAGCCGGAGAACUGCAAUAUAAUUCUGAUUAUGGGAUUGAUUUCAAAAUAUCCCGCUACUCGCUUGAGAGCAGAAAAGCGGCUCUAUCCGCAGCACCCAGCUUAAACCAUUAUUUUUUUUCCCGGUAGAAAUUGAAGUAGUGGUUGUGACAGGGUUAUUAGUUCCUGGUUGUGAUGCAUUCAUCCGAGAAAAGUCUCACUACUACAUACAGAAGUUCAAAUUGAUUGUUCUGUCAAAAAUUUCGACUGCAUUAAACACUGCUUUUAUUACGCAUUAAAUGCUAAUGUAAUGCUAAUUUAAUGUUAAUAAACAUUUUAUCUUGCAGCAUUAACGAUGCUGAUAUAAUGUUGAAUAAGAGCUUCGAAACAUUUGCAGGGCUGUUAUAAUGCUUUGAAGCAUCAUUGAUGCUCAUUUAAAGCCUAAAACUAAUGCUUACGGUUACUUGGCUAAAGUGCUCAGUGCAACUUAGUGUUGCUGAUGUUCGUAAAGAGCGAGUGGUGCUCGCAUAAAAAAGCUCAGUAUGACUUACUAUGGGGGCAGCAUGGACUUUGUCCAAGGGCUUGACGACCCCUCCCCAUGGCCACUGCGAGUUAGACCGGGACCAUCGUCCCUAACCCCUAAUCCCAAGGCGUCAAGCGACCCGUGCCGAGGGGAUGCAUGGCCAGGGGGGUGAAAUAAUAAGCUAGGCCUUUAAGGUGAGUUACGGCGGCGUCCAAAAAUGGCAGCCACAAUGGCCGUGCUAUCUCUCACCUCGCGUUUUUGCUCGCACAAAUGUGAAUAUUUAGGCGGUUAGCACAUCUGGAAACCAUUUUUUCAUGUAUGCUGCAAGUGAGCAAAAGUGAAAAACUACUUUUUGCUUUUGUCUGUCGUUUACUUUUCAAGUUAUGUGCCCUCAAAAGUGCUAUGUAGAUUUGAAAUUGGGCUCCAACGCGAUUCACCUUAACGGAGCCUGUGGGGUACCUGGGCACCCUCCACAGUAAUUGUCCCUUACCGCGUUAUGCUGGGCUCUGGCGUGGUGGACCUCUUUUCCCGAGCAACUCGUGGGACCAAAAUGGAAAACCAAGUCAAUUCUUCAAUUAGUGGUAGUAGUGUAGGCGACAACCCCUUCGCAAGAGGUGGGUUGUUCAGGUCUCCGCCUAGGAGGCCAGAGGCAAUAGUCGGCAGCUCAGUGCGCAGCGCCAGCGUGGGUCACUCAACCUUCCUCUCGGCUAUAAAAACGCCGGAAGGGGUUAUUGACGGCCCAUGGCUUGUGAAGGCGAUGAACCGCAAACGCGAUGGGCUUUCGGCCUUCGAGGUGGCGACGGAACAGCUGG